CAGUAGCCACGGUAAUACGAAGGGUGCAAGCGUUAAUCGGAAUUACUGGGCGUAAAGCGUGCGUAGGCGGUUUGUUAAGUCUGCUGUGAAAUCCCCGGGCUCAACCUGGGAAUGGCAGUGGAUACUGGCAAGCUAGAGUGUGUCAGAGGAUGGUGGAAUUCCCGGUGUAGCGGUGAAAUGCGUAGAGAUCGGGAGGAACAUCAGUGGCGAAGGCGGCCAUCUGGACAACACUGACGCUGAGGCACGAAAGCGUGGGGAGCAAACAGGAUUAGAUACCCCGGUAGUCCCUGUCUCUUAUACA
This 301-nucleotide ribosomal RNA is filed under the name uncultured bacterium. RNAcentral's name for it is "partial 16S ribosomal RNA". It matches the Rfam family "Bacterial small subunit ribosomal RNA", at positions 509 to 808 of the family's 1533-position model. The record is from RNAcentral.